Molecule: ribosomal RNA, 301 nt
Filed under: uncultured bacterium
Lineage: Bacteria
Description: partial 16S ribosomal RNA
Rfam family: Bacterial small subunit ribosomal RNA
Source: RNAcentral
CAGUCGCCGCGAGAAUACGGAGGGUGCAAGCGUUAAUCGGAAUUACUGGGCGUAAAGCGUGCGUAGGCGGUUCGUUAAGUCUGUUGUGAAAGCCCCGGGCUCAACCUGGGAAUGGCAAUGGAUACUGGCGAGCUAGAGUGUGUCAGAGGAUGGUGGAAUUCCCGGUGUAGCGGUGAAAUGCGUAGAGAUCGGGAGGAACAUCAGUGGCGAAGGCGGCCAUCUGGGACAACACUGACGCUGAGGCACGAAAGCGUGGGGAGCAAACAGGAUUAGAUACCCCAGUAGUCCCUGUCUCUUAUAC